Molecule: ribosomal RNA, 365 nt
Filed under: uncultured bacterium
Lineage: Bacteria
Description: bacterial SSU rRNA
Rfam family: Bacterial small subunit ribosomal RNA
Source: RNAcentral
UGUUGUAAGAAGAACACGUAUGAGAGUAACUGUUCAUACGUUGACGGUAUUUAACCAGAAAGUCACGGCUAACUACGUGCCAGCAGCCGCGGUAAUACGUAGGUGGCAAGCGUUAUCCGGAUUUAUUGGGCGUAAAGAGAGUGCAGGCGGUUUUCUAAGUCUGAUGUGAAAGCCUUCGGCUUAACCGGAGAAGUGCAUCGGAAACUGGAUAACUUGAGUGCAGAAGAGGGUAGUGGAACUCCAUGUGUAGCGGUGGAAUGCGUAGAUAUAUGGAAGAACACCAGUGGCGAAGGCGGCUACCUGGUCUGCAACUGACGCUGAGACUCGAAAGCAUGGGUAGCGAACAGGAUUAGAUACCCUGGUAG